RNA transcript from Lathyrus oleraceus (garden pea), 3820 nucleotides. It is a transcript of the gene named cyclin-dependent kinase G-2, with no coding region annotated. The record is from RefSeq and is a predicted model, not a curated record. Lineage: Eukaryota; Viridiplantae; Streptophyta; Magnoliopsida; Fabales; Fabaceae. The transcript has 8 exons.
UGCCACGAAUAUUCCCUUUUGCUCUCUCUUUCGACGAGAGUCGAUAUUUUCAGAUUUUGUCGCGAGGCCAUCCUCACUCGUCCCUGAUAAUCGUUAGACACGAAAAAACUUUCCCCAAUCUGCUUGAAGAUCGGGAUUUCUCUCCCAGGUUCAACCAUCCUAAUUCAAACGGUUCACACGUUUCACUUUCUUUCUCCUAAAUUUCUAGGGUUUCAAUUUUGAUCCCGCCAAUUUUAGAUACCUAGCAGCACGAUACCUGAUUUCGCUUUUUUUUCUCCAUCCGAUCUUACUUCAUUCAUAGGUAGGGGUUUACUUGAUAUGCGCACUUUGUUCUUCAAUAAGGAAACUUAGUUGAAUUCAUUGUUUUCUAGGUUUUAGGGUUCUAGAAACGGAAUUGUUCCUUUUCCGCUACAGGGUUAGGGUUUUCCGUUUGAAUUUAGCAUUUCAAGUAUAUUUAUGACGACAGGUAGACACGGAGGUUAUCACGAUCACAAAUUCAGGCACAGUGAGUCGGAUUUUGGCAUUUCAAGGAGUGGUUUUACUACUAAUAAUUUUAAUGAGGAGUAUGAUGGGAUUAGAAAUAAUGGUAAGGGUCGGAGGAGGGAUUCGAGAGAUAGAGUUAUUACAAGGGAGAGAGAAAUUUCAAAUGGUAGUUACCGGUCAUCUUCGAGUAGGAGUGACUCUAGCAGUAGUGGCGGCCUUAGUGGCAGGCUUGGUCCUAGAAGAUGUGAUUUUCCUGUAAAGACUAUGGAUAGAGAGCCAGGCGAGCUUUCUAGUGAGAGUGGAUCUGAUGAGGGCGUUGAAGCAGAGUCACUGGUAAAACGCCAUAAGGCUGUGAUGGGUAAAGAGUUUGAUUAUGAUGUUGAAUCAGAAUCACUCUUCAAACACCGCGAGGUUGCAAUGGGCAAAGAAAAUGGGACUCAAUCUCCAUUACAAAGGAAAAGGAAAUUUUCACCAAUAGUAUGGGAUCAAGAUGACCACAAAUUGACUAAUUUAUCCAAGCUUAAGGUUGUCACAACAGUGACUGCUGUUUCUCCACCACCUCCAUUUCCAAGAGCAGUCAACGAGUCGCCUCAUGUUCCUUACAAUGGAGUUGAAGUUCUUCCUCCUGAGAAUCCUGUGUUGUCGACUGCAAUGGAUCCUUCUAUGGUGUCUGAGUCAGUUCAAGAUGCUGAAUCUGAGUCUCCUAUAGGUUUGAAUUCACUGUUGUCAGAGCAGAGGUUGGUUAAUGGGAACACUGAGCAACCAGAAGUUGAAGAUUACGUGUCAACUCGCAAUAUAUCAUCUUCAAGAUGGGCAUCUGGAGAUGGCUCUUCGGAUGAUGAAGGUGAAAUCAUUGAUGAGAAGGAAAUCCUUAAAAAGAGGAGGCUAUCUCUUGAGGCGGGUAUGAAAAUACGAAACAAGAUGUUGAGACCAGAGGAAUCUAAAAUUGAAGGUUUUGAAAGGUCUAGAGGAAAAUCAUCUGAAUCCGAAGAAAGAGGUAGCACUGGGAGAUAUUCCGGUGAAGAUGAUUAUCCUGGUAUUGAGGCAGGGAAGGACAACUACAUGGAGAUUGACAGCGGAGUUUGCAAAAGUGACGCAAGUGGUAGUCACACAAAUACUGAUUCUGAACGUGAAGACAAUUACAGGGAAAGUAUGGAAUCUCUGUCUCCACCCCAGAGAGUUGUCAACAUGCUUCAGGGGUGUAGAAGUGUUGAUGAGUUUGAGAGACUGAACAAGAUUGAUGAAGGAACAUAUGGUGUUGUAUAUAGGGCCAAAGACAAGAAGACCGGUGAAAUAGUGGCACUGAAAAAGGUUAAGAUGGAAAAGGAAAAAGAAGGCUUUCCACUGACUUCUCUGAGGGAAAUAAACAUACUUCUUUCCUUUCACCAUCCAUUCAUAGUUGACGUUAAGGAAGUAGUGGUAGGUAGUAGCCUUGAUAGUAUUUUUAUGGUUAUGGAAUACAUGGAACACGAUCUUAAAGGACUAAUGGUGGCAAUGAAGCAGCCAUUUAGCCAGAGUGAAGUAAAAUGCUUAAUGCUCCAGCUGUUAGAAGGUGUGAAGUAUCUUCAUGACAACUGGGUGCUUCACAGGGACUUGAAGACCUCAAACCUGCUUCUGAAUAAUAGGGGCGAGUUAAAAAUUUGUGAUUUUGGAUUAGCUCGUCAGUAUGGGAGUCCAUUGAAACCUUAUACAUCAUUGGUGGUUACUCUUUGGUACAGGGCUCCUGAACUUCUUUUGGGGACAAAGCAGUAUUCAACAGCUAUUGACAUGUGGUCCCUGGGUUGUAUAAUGGCUGAGCUUUUGUCCAAGGAACCAUUGUUUAAUGGGAGGACUGAAUUUGAUCAACUUAACAAGAUUUUCAGAAUUCUUGGCACCCCAAAUGAAACAAUUUGGCCUGGGUUCUCAAAAUUACCUCUAGUCAAGGCCAAUUAUGUCAAACAUCAGCUUCAACUCUGUGUGGUUGGCUAUCUGGCCUCCCCGGUGACUCACUUUUACACGAAUUUCCUAUUGUGUAUUAACCACAGGAAUGUUCCUUUCAGGUAUAGUCUCCUGCGCAAAAAGUUUCCCGCAACAUCAUUCACUGGAUCCCCAGUUCUUUCUGACUCUGGAUUUGAUUUGUUGAACAAGCUUCUCACUUAUGACCCUGAAAAGAGGAUCACCGCUGAAGAUGCUCUCAACCAUGAAUGGUUUCGUGAAGUUCCCCUCCCCAAGUCUAAAGAAUUCAUGCCUACAUUUCCUGCUCAACAUGAUAAAGAAAGGAGAAUGCGAAGAAUAAUGAAGAGUCCACAUCCGUUAGAGAAGCACCGGAAGGAUUUGCAGCUGGGCGAAUCAGGAACUGGUAGUAUUUUUGGUUAACAAUGGUGCAAUCUAAAGUUUUCGUCUUGAAAGUCAUUUUAAAACUGUUGAAUGUUUGCAUGCUUGAGGUGAGAGUAUGCACUGGAUGUAUGUUCUUAGACGAUAGCCUGUGCUGUUUUUUUUAUCAGACACCUGUUUUGUUUGGGUUGAGAUAUGUAUUCUUUAUCUCCUGGGAGACAGAUUUAUUUCAGGUUAACCUUCAUUGUUGGUCAUCUUAUAGAAAUGCAAAUGGGACACAGCUGGCAGCAUAAGAGAAAGUUCGUGUGAAGUGGAAGAGUGCGUUCUGUCCAUUUUGUUGAAGAAAAUGACACUUACUUUUCACAUCAAAGUAUCAAAGCUAGCAGGUUGAGGAUGUUACCUGUAUACCCUGGAAUAUAUGGAACUAUGUUCCAUCAGGCUCUCUAGAGGUACCAUCCAAACCUUGGUAUGUUAUAAUACAUCUCUGUAGUUCUAUCAACUACCCAGAAUUUUAAGGUCACAAUCUUUUAUUUAUUUCAGUUGUGCAUGUUCUAGUGAUUCCUUGUAUAGUUUAUUUUUAUUUCUUGACUGAAAUUUCAGUUAGGCUUUUAGACAUUUUAUUUGUGCCACAAUACUUGAACCCAUGGGUAGAAGAACUAUGUUUUGUUUUUGUUUUUUCUUUCCUUUUUACGAUCUUGGUAUAUGAUAAAUUGCCAUUCUUGUCAACUUGAAAGUGGGAUACACACUGCUGCUUCCCUGUUAAGGCCAACAAUGGAAGAAUUUUGACAUCUGUGGUAGAACUACUAAUUAGUAAUUACUCUUAGUUUGUACAGCUGGGAGAUGUGCUCUUUUGUUGGGAACUGCAAGUAUCGUGUAACUCAUAAAAUUUAGACAUUUUGCUGUAUUACCACAAAUCCCUCUCUUGUUUUUUUUUUGGCAUGAUGUAAGUAAAUAAUCCAAUUUCCUUUUCUUUACCCGACUAAAAUUUACAUAUAUUCUGAUACCAGUUCGAGUUUUGUAGCAA